UACGUAGGUGACGAGCGUUGUCCGGAUUUACUGGGCGUAAAGAGCGCGCAGGCGGUCGUUCAAGUCGAGUGUGAAAGCCCCCGGCUCAACUGGGGAGGGUCACUCGAUACUGAUCGACUCGAAGGCAGGAGAGGGAAGUGGAAUUCCCGGUGUAGUGGUGAAAUGCGUAGAGAUCGGGAGGAACACCCGUGGCGAAGGCGGCUCACUGGGCUGACCUUGACGCUGAGGCGCGAAGGCGUGGGGAGCGAACGGG
Molecule: ribosomal RNA, 253 nt
Filed under: uncultured bacterium
Lineage: Bacteria
Description: partial 16S ribosomal RNA
Rfam family: Bacterial small subunit ribosomal RNA
Source: RNAcentral